GACGUAGGGCGCGAGCGUUGUCCGGAUUUAUUGGGCGUAAAGAGCGUGUAGGCGGCUAGGUAGGUCCGUUGUGAAAACUCGAGGCUCAACCUCGAGACGUCGAUGGAAACCAUCUAGCUAGAGUCCGGAAGAGGAGAGUGGAAUUCCUGGUGUAGCGGUGAAAUGCGCAGAUAUCAGGAGGAACACCGAUUGCGAAGGCAGCUCGCUGGGACGUAACUGACGCUGAGACGCGAAAGCGUGGGGAGCAAACAGG
Molecule: ribosomal RNA, 253 nt
Filed under: uncultured bacterium
Lineage: Bacteria
Description: partial 16S ribosomal RNA
Rfam family: Bacterial small subunit ribosomal RNA
Source: RNAcentral